Dipodomys ordii (Ord's kangaroo rat) is the source of this 136-nucleotide small nucleolar RNA. NCBI's taxonomy places the organism in Eukaryota, Metazoa, Chordata, Mammalia, Rodentia, Heteromyidae. The record is from Ensembl.
GGAGGACCUUAUCAAAACUGCAACUGCUUCCUCAUAGCUGCUGUGGUCAAAAAGGAGCCCAGAAUAAGUUCUUCCCUUGACGGUUGCGGCUCUGUUCGUUGUAACUGAUAUGCAACAUUUUGGGGAAAAGACAAUU